AAUGGCUGCAGUAAUUUGACUGUACAAAGGUAGCAUAAUCAUUAGUUUUUUAAUUAAAAGCUUGUAUGAAGGGUUGGACGAAAUAAAAUCUGUCUCUUUUUAAUAAAAUUAGAAUUUAAUUUUUAAGUUAAAAAGCUUAAAUUUAUAUAAAAGACGAGAAGACCCUAUAGAGUUUAAUAAUUUUAAUUUAAUAAUUAAUUUAGAUUUAUUAAUUUUAUUUAAUUAAAAUUAUUUUAUUGGGGUAAUAAAAAGAUUUAAAAAAUUCUUUUUAGUUUAAAUCAUUAAUUUAUGAAAAUUUGAUCCAUAUAAUUUUGAAUAUAAGAUUAAAUUACCUUAGGGAUAACAGCGUAAUUUUUUUUUAGAGUUCUUAUCGAUAAAAAAGUUUGCGACCUCGAUGUUGGAUUAAAGAUUAAUUUAGGUGUAGAAGUUUAAAUUUUUGGUCUGUUCGACCAUUGAAUCUUUACAUGAUCUGAGUUCAAACCGGUGUAAGCCAGGUUGGUUUCUAUCUUUAUAAUGUUUUUAUAUUUUAGUACGAAAGGACCAAGUAUAAUGUAUAUAAAUACUUAAUUUAUUGAAUAU
RNAcentral lists this ribosomal RNA (579 nucleotides) under Trechus croaticus. RNAcentral describes it as "partial 16S ribosomal RNA". The stretch from base 339 to 497 matches the Rfam family "Bacterial large subunit ribosomal RNA", at positions 2473 to 2632 of the family's 2925-position model. The record is from RNAcentral. Lineage: Eukaryota; Metazoa; Arthropoda; Insecta; Coleoptera; Carabidae.